UGCCUAACCUGCAAGUCGAACGAACCCUUCGGGGUUAGUGGCGCACGGGUGCGUAACGCGUGGGAACCUGCCUUUAGGUUCGGAAUAACUCAGAGAAAUUUGAGCUAAUACCGGAUAAUGUCUUCGGACCAAAGAUUUAUCGCCUUUAGAUGGGCCCGCGUUAGAUUAGAUAGUUGGUGGGGUAAUGGCCUACCAAGUCGACGAUCUAUAGCUGGUCUGAGAGGAUGAUCAGCCACACUGGGACUGAGACACGGCCCAGACUCCUACGGGAGGCAGCAGUGGGGAAUAUUGGACAAUGGGCGAAAGCCUGAUCCACAAUGCCCGCGUGAGUGAUGAAGGCCUUAGGGUUGUAAAGCUCUUUUCCAGGGAUGAUAAUGACAGUCCUGGAGA
This 390-nucleotide ribosomal RNA is filed under the name marine bacterium SIMO-IS142. RNAcentral describes it as "bacterial SSU rRNA". It matches the Rfam family "Bacterial small subunit ribosomal RNA", at positions 45 to 485 of the family's 1533-position model. The record is from RNAcentral. Lineage: Bacteria; Pseudomonadati; Pseudomonadota; Alphaproteobacteria.